CGGGGCGUGGCGCAGAUGGUAGCGCGCUUGGUUCGGGACUAAGAGGUCGCUGGUUCAAAUCCAGUCGCCCCGA
This 73-nucleotide transfer RNA is filed under the name Candidatus Zixiibacteriota bacterium. Its description in RNAcentral is "candidate division Zixibacteria bacterium tRNA-Pro". It matches the Rfam family "tRNA". From Rfam's summary of the family: Transfer RNA (tRNA) molecules are approximately 80 nucleotides in length. Their secondary structure includes four short double-helical elements and three loops (D, anti-codon, and T loops). The record is from RNAcentral. Lineage: Bacteria; Pseudomonadati; Candidatus Zixiibacteriota.